This 500-nucleotide ribosomal RNA is filed under the name uncultured Glomeromycotina. RNAcentral's name for it is "partial small subunit ribosomal RNA". It matches the Rfam family "Eukaryotic small subunit ribosomal RNA", at positions 591 to 1092 of the family's 1831-position model. The record is from RNAcentral. Lineage: Eukaryota; Fungi; Glomeromycota.
CCAAUAGCGUAUAUUAAAGUUGUUGCAGUUAAAAAGCUCGUAGUUGAAUUUCGGGGUUAGUAGAUUGGUCAUGCCUCUGGUAUGCACUGGUCUCACUGAUUCCUCCUUCCUGAUGAGCCGUAAUGCCAUUAAUUUGGUGUUGCGGGGAAUUUGGACUGUUACUUUGAAAAAAUUAGAGUGUUUAAAGCAAGCUAACGCUUGAAUACAUUAGCAUGGAAUAAUGAAAUAGGACGUUCGAUCCUAUUUUGUUGGUUUCUAGGAUUGACGUAAUGAUUAAUAGGGAUAGUUGGGGGCAUUAGUAUUCAAUUGUCAGAGGUGAAAUUCUUGGAUUUAUUGAAGACUAACUACUACGAAAGCAUUUGCCAAGGAUGUUUUCAUUAAUCAAGAACGAAAGUUAGGGGAUCGAAGACGCUCAGAUACCGUCGUAGUCUUAACCAUAAACUAUGCCGACUAGGGAUCGGAUGAUGUUAAUUUUUUAAUGACUCAUUCGGCGCCUUACG